CCUGCCUGCUACUCAAGUAAAAUGUAUAAACAGAAGACAUGAGGGGGACCAGGAUGACGCGUGGUCAAAUGUCUUCUGUGCAGUGGUUGCCUGCUUUCCUUCGGGGGCUGUUUUAAGGAUCGAUGCUUGCUGAGAUGAAGGCAAGACAGUCUAAACAGUUCCAGAGACCAGGACCUGGACAUCUUUGGGAGGCCAUCAUUCUGCCUGCCACAACAUGGAACAAGAAUAGAAGUUGGACACAUAACCAAUGAGAUUUUAAACUGAUGUUGAACAUGAGCACAGCAGUGAGUGGGAGACGUGUUCGGA
This is a long non-coding RNA of Camelus dromedarius (Arabian camel), 306 nucleotides long. RefSeq lists it as uncharacterized. The record is from RefSeq and is a predicted model, not a curated record. Lineage: Eukaryota; Metazoa; Chordata; Mammalia; Artiodactyla; Camelidae. The transcript has 4 exons.